Molecule: non-coding RNA, 458 nt
Organism: Scleropages formosus (Asian bonytongue)
Lineage: Eukaryota; Metazoa; Chordata; Actinopteri; Osteoglossiformes; Osteoglossidae
Source: the annotation of a RefSeq genome assembly
AAGUCAACAUGGGCAGAGAACAUGAAGUUCUCAUCACAGUCACUGUCUUACUGAGCUUCCUCACAGAUUCGCUGGACUGUGUUAUUGCACAGCAAAAACCACCUGAGCUUCUGAGACACUCUGGACAGAAAGAAGCACAGCUUCAGUGUCACAAUGGUGACAGCAGCUACCCCUACAUGUUCUGGUACCAGCAGCAAGGAGGAAAGGGCUCCAUCGAGCUGAUUGGAUAUCUCCAUUACGAAAACGCUGUUCUUGAGGAAAAGUUCCAAAUGAGGUUUAACAUUUCAGGGCACUCCAAGACUGACGCCUCUCUGAUAAUCGCUAACAUAAAAUCUGAGGACACGGCAAUAUAUUUCUGCGCAGUAAGUAAAGCACGCGCUAUCGCCAAGAAGCGCAGGCGUGCAGGGUCUUGUGCACACAUCAUCAAAUCAGAAACGAGCUCCCAGAAUCAUCUCUAA